Molecule: non-coding RNA, 101 nt
Organism: Fictibacillus enclensis
Lineage: Bacteria; Bacillati; Bacillota; Bacilli; Caryophanales; Fictibacillaceae
Source: Rfam
UGAUCCUUUAACCACAGUCCCGUGAGGCUGAGAAGGAAAACGGAAUUAGGCUAUAGGCCUAACUAUAUCCUCUCGUCUAUACGGCGAGAGGACUUUUUUGU